CCUACGGGCGGCAGCAGUAGGGAAUCUUCGGCAAUGGACGGAAGUCUGACCGAGCAACGCCGCGUGAGUGAAGAAGGUUUUCGGAUCGUAAAGCUCUGUUGUAAGAGAAGAACGAGUGUGAGAGUGGAAAGUUCACACUGUGACGGUAUCUUACCAGAAAGGGACGGCUAACUACGUGCCAGCAGCCGCGGUAAUACGUAGGUCCCGAGCGUUGUCCGGAUUUAUUGGGCGUAAAGCGAGCGCAGGCGGUUAGAUAAGUCUGAAGUUAAAGGCUGUGGCUUAACCAUAGUACGCUUUGGAAACUGUUUAACUUGAGUGCAAGAGGGGAGAGUGGAAUUCCAUGUGUAGCGGUGAAAUGCGUAGAUAUAUGGAGGAACACCGGUGGCGAAAGCGGCUCUCUGGCUUGUAACUGACGCUGAGGCUCGAAAGCGUGGGGAGCAAACAGGAUUAGAUACCUGGUAGUC
This 464-nucleotide ribosomal RNA is filed under the name uncultured Streptococcus sp. RNAcentral's name for it is "bacterial SSU rRNA". It matches the Rfam family "Bacterial small subunit ribosomal RNA", at positions 338 to 795 of the family's 1533-position model. Lineage: Bacteria; Bacillati; Bacillota; Bacilli; Lactobacillales; Streptococcaceae. The record is from RNAcentral.